AUGCUUGUUUCAGCCACACAUAUACAGCUAAAACUGAAAGAUGCAGAAAAGAUUAACGUGCCCCUGGCACAAGAAUAACAGGAAAAUUUAUGAAGUGUUCUGUAUUUUG
Molecule: small nuclear RNA, 109 nt
Filed under: Heterocephalus glaber (naked mole-rat)
Lineage: Eukaryota; Metazoa; Chordata; Mammalia; Rodentia; Bathyergidae
Source: RNAcentral